UUUGACCUCAGAUUAGACGUGAAAACCCGCUGAAUUUAAGCAUAUAACUAGGCGGAGGAA
Molecule: ribosomal RNA, 60 nt
Filed under: Xiphinema browni
Lineage: Eukaryota; Metazoa; Nematoda; Enoplea; Dorylaimida; Longidoridae
Description: partial 28S large subunit ribosomal RNA
Rfam family: Eukaryotic large subunit ribosomal RNA
Source: RNAcentral